UACCUUGCGCGCGCCAUGUUGUUUCUCACCUCCAAGGCCUGAUUGCCGUCCCUGUCAGCAGACUAUGGACUGAAACCUCUACAAAUGCAUGAGGAACUUCACUGAGUGCUGACACUAUGCUCUUGGACUGGCAGCCUCUGGAACUGCAUAGGAAAGAUACUUCUGGAAUGAAGGAUUUUUUUUCUGAGAAAGAUCAGCCCUGCUUCAGAGGAAAAGGUGUACAGAGUUUGUCCUGGGAAAAUGUAUAGAUGCCAGCUGCAGUUUUACCUUUGGAAAGAAUGCCAAAUCGGUAAUCACAACAAAGCCUCUCCAAAGGGUCAUGGAAGCUGAGAAGGACCAAGAUCAGGGACAAUGAGACUUCAUAACCUCAAGGCCACAAUGAGAAUUAUGGAAGUGCUUUAAAAGAUAAACCCAGAAUACACACAGAAUGUCAACUUCCUUAUAAAGAUAAGGAAAGUGAAAGUGACUAAUUUGAGGAUACCCUUCCUGAAGCUACCAGUUCUUGGAUUUGAACACCUUUCUAGUUUGUAGUCCUGUACAUUUUAUGCUGCAUUUCUCAACUUCCUCUUGCUUUCCUUUCCUCACUUAUCUGUGGUUGAAAAGGUUUCCAGCCCAACUUUGGGGCAAAGGAGUUACAAGUAGCGAAAUUUUCCUUCAAAUUAUUAUUAACUAUUAUUAACUUAAUAUAAAUAUUAGUUAUUUGGCAGAGGGAAUAGGAGUGAAAGAAGACUAGUAUGCAGAAGGAACCACAGAAUGUCCAAUAUCAUAAUUAUUUUUUUGGUACCAGGGAUUGAACUUGAUGUCAUAAUUUUUGAAAGAAAGACCACAUGAGAUUGGAGCAUUACUGAAAAAGGGUACCACAUCAUUUAAGGAAGAGAGAGAAAAGAAGAGGUUGCUCAGCUUUAAAAGGGAAAACUCACAAAAACUAUCACAUACUACAAUGGCUUCCAUUCAGAUAAAGAAAUGGACAAUAAAUCAUACUAACAUUCUGUGAGGACCCAAUAUAUGUAGGUCAAAUUGUUGGUGGAUGUUUCACAUUACCUUAUAGAAGAGGUAACUGAAGCUGUGAGAUUUUAAGCUUUGGUUAAUUUCCCAAUGGAGCAAGAAUUCAAAUGGAAGUCCAGCUUUCAAGCAUUCAUUGUUUUCUGAGCCCUUCCAUAAGGAAACAUUGACAUUGUGUGCUCUAUGUUCUUGGAACCAUUCAAGUUGAAGCUGAGGGAAUAUAUGAUAGUGGUACUUCAGCAGCAAUGCUUGCACUUGGUAAGGUUUUUUGGAAUGGUAAUCUGCAUAGUCCCUUCUAAAUAAUGGAACUAUUCUAGGUACCUUUCACUAACUGGGAAAGGUCAGCUGUUUCUAAGGAGAAUUGCAUUGCAUUGCUGUUCCUGUUGUUAAACUAACACAUUGAAAAUGAAGGGCUUAGGUUAUUAGGUCACUUGAGUCAGUGUACUCUUCAGAAUAAUUAUUUAUGAUACUAGAACACAUCAAGCAUUACUAGUAGAAAAGACAAACAAGUGCUCUAUAACUCAAAGAACAGAUUGUUCAUACAUUUCUUUUAUUAGUUAGUCUUAACAUUGGAGUAGGAAAGCUAUAAAUAGCACUAAUAUAAGGUUAGACAUAGGGAAAUAUAUAGGUGCCAUCUCAAAAUAUAUUACAUAGAGCAAUAUUAGAUUUGGAAGGAGACAAAUGUCAGAAGCCACAUCAAAAUAGGAAAUGUCAGUCUAGAAUCCAGGAGAUAAUCAGAAGUAAGAAUAAACAUGGAUUAA
This is a non-coding RNA of Heterocephalus glaber (naked mole-rat), 1763 nucleotides long. The record is from RefSeq and is a predicted model, not a curated record. NCBI's taxonomy places the organism in Eukaryota, Metazoa, Chordata, Mammalia, Rodentia, Bathyergidae.